GUCAAGCCUACAAAGGCUCCACGGCGAUACCUUGUCACACAAAGCGAUGAAAGGACCGUGUUACUUGGCGAUAGUCUCGGGAGCUGGGAAGCACGCUUGAUCUGGAAUUU
RNAcentral lists this ribosomal RNA (110 nucleotides) under uncultured Synechococcus sp. RNAcentral describes it as "partial 23S ribosomal RNA". Lineage: Bacteria; Bacillati; Cyanobacteriota; Cyanophyceae; Synechococcales; Synechococcaceae. The record is from RNAcentral.